GUGAACACUGGUUUUGCUACAUUCUUGGAAUUGGGUUGGGAGGAGACAGAAGCCAGAAGGAGGAGUACGAACCGGAGAGAAAGCAUUCCUCAAGGCAGGCUGCGAUCUGCAGAAAAAUCUCAGGAGUGUCUCUCAAAGGUUAUCAUAAGAAGUACUCAACUCCUUCACGGCAUUCAGAUGAUAGGAACAUAUGGAAAUAAAUAGGAACUUCAAGGAUGCAAGAAUGAAAGCUUCAGGCCAAAGAGAUGCUCCACCACAUUGAGAACAAACCCUCUGAAAAUGGGUUGUUCACACUCGCCAUCAGAAGCUGUAUAGGUGAAUUAUUUAUGCCAACAUAUUUAUGUUUAAAGGUGUAACAAUCUGGGGACAGAAACUGUAAGUCACCUUAGGUUUAAAGAGUGUACUAUUAAUUUACACUAAAGCAGUUACCUCCCAAAUUAUACUCAGUCAAGAAGAGUGUCUGUUCCCAGAGGCCUCAAAGCACAAGCUGCACUCAAGCUUGCUCACCGUUAGCUUCUGCUUCCUCUUUGAUGUUCAAGAUGUGAACUUUCAUCUGCUGCUCCAGUCACCUGUUACCACCUCUCCAACAUCAUGGACUCCAGUCUUGUGAAACCAUUAGCCCCAAAUAAACACUUUUUUCUAUAA
Molecule: long non-coding RNA, 645 nt
Filed under: Cricetulus griseus (Chinese hamster)
Lineage: Eukaryota; Metazoa; Chordata; Mammalia; Rodentia; Cricetidae
Description: lncRNA (ENSCGRG00015034836.1)
Source: RNAcentral